GAUGAACGCUGGCGGCGUGCCUAAUACAUGCAAGUCGAGCGAACGGACGAGAAGCUUGCUUCUCUGAUGUUAGCGGCGGACGGGUGAGUAACACGUGGAUAACCUACCUAUAAGACUGGGAUAACUUCGGGAAACAGGAGCUAAUACCGGAUAAUAUUUUGAACCGCAUGGUUCAAAAGUGAAAGACGGUCUUGCUGUCACUUAUAGAUGGAUCCGCGCUGCAUUAGCUAGUUGGUAAGGUAACGGCUUACCAAGACAACGAUGCAUAGCCGACCUGAGAGGGUGAUCGGCCACACUGGAACUGAGACACGGUCCAGACUCCUACGGGAGGCAGCAGUAGGGAAUCUUCCGCAAUGGGCGAAAGCCUGACGGAGCAACGCCGCGUGAGUGAUGAAGGUCUUCGGAUCGUAAAACUCUGUUAUUAGGGAAGAACAUAUGUGUAAGUAACUGUGCACAUCUUGACGGUACCUAAUCAGAAAGCCACGGCUAACUACGUG
Molecule: ribosomal RNA, 497 nt
Filed under: uncultured bacterium
Lineage: Bacteria
Description: partial 16S ribosomal RNA
Rfam family: Bacterial small subunit ribosomal RNA
Source: RNAcentral